RNAcentral lists this long non-coding RNA (482 nucleotides) under Homo sapiens (human). RNAcentral's name for it is "HSALNT0060062". The record is from RNAcentral. Lineage: Eukaryota; Metazoa; Chordata; Mammalia; Primates; Hominidae.
UGGAGGGCUGGGUGCAGGACAGGGUCACGUUCUCGCUUUGGGAGCUCCCCCUUGAGGGAGAGCCAAGGGUGAUGUUCUGAGGCCAGGAGACGCCGAGACGGCCAAGGCGCUCAUCUGGAGGCGAAUUUCUGAGGGUUCACUGCUCCAUUCAUUCAGCAAACACGUGUAGAGCAGCACGGGCUGAGCGCCAGACGAGCAGGGACCUGGCCCUGGCAUUACAGCGCCCCUCAAGACAGCGAGUGUCCUGCCCUUGAGAGGUUUACAGUGCAAGGGGAAAACAAGUGAAAAGCCAAACACGCACGCAAGGAAACUGACUGUAAUACACGGAAAACUGCAUGGCGAUGCCACUAGUAAAAUGAACAGAAGGAGGCCUCUUUUAAUUUCAGUGGCCAGAGCAACCUCUGAGGAAGAAGCUUUGAACUGAGCCGGCGGGAGAGUAGGAUUUAUGUAGAAAAAGAUCUCUGGGCUAGCCUGCUAGCCAC